GGGCGGAUGGUUUAGUGGUAUAAUACUCCCUUAGCAUGUAGCCACCUUGUGGCACGGCUUGGGAGUGGUCCGGGGUUCGAUUCCCCGUCUGUCCA
Molecule: non-coding RNA, 95 nt
Organism: Claviceps africana
Lineage: Eukaryota; Fungi; Ascomycota; Sordariomycetes; Hypocreales; Clavicipitaceae
Source: the annotation of a GenBank genome assembly